UACAUGGGGUGCAAACGUUGCUCGGAAUUACUGGGCGUAAAGCGUGCGCAGGCGGUGAUGUAAGACAGAUGUGAAAUCCCCGGGCUCAACCUGGGAACUGCAUUUGUGACUGCAUCGCUGGAGUGCGGCAGAGGGGGAUGGAAUUCCGCGUGUAGCAGUGAAAUGCGUAGAUAUGCGGAGGAACACCGAUGGCGAAGGCAAUCCCCUGGGCCUGCACUGACGCUCAUGCACGAAAGCGUGGGGAGCAAACAGG
This 253-nucleotide ribosomal RNA is filed under the name uncultured bacterium. Its description in RNAcentral is "partial 16S ribosomal RNA". It matches the Rfam family "Bacterial small subunit ribosomal RNA", at positions 524 to 776 of the family's 1533-position model. The record is from RNAcentral.